AAAGGCCGAAAGGUGACCGACCUUCGGGAGCUUGCACAGGUGCUGCAUGGCUGUCGUCAGCUCGUGUCGUGAGAUGUCGGUUAAGUCCGCUAACGAGCGCAACCCUCGCUGUGUGUUAUAUGUGUCACACGGGACUGCCGGUCUUAAGCCGGAGGAAGGUGGGGAUGAUGUCAAGUCAGCAUGGCCUUUAUAUCCUGGGCUACACACACGCUACAAUGGCCAACACAAUAGGUUGCUAAGCCGCGAGGUGGCGCCAAUCCAUAAAGUUGGUCUCAGUUCAGAUUGUAGGCUGCAACCCGCCUGCAUGAAGAUGGAGUUGCUAGUAACCGCAGGUCAGCUAUACUGCGGUGAAUACGUUCCCGGGGCUU
This 368-nucleotide ribosomal RNA is filed under the name uncultured Leptolinea sp. Its description in RNAcentral is "bacterial SSU rRNA". It matches the Rfam family "Bacterial small subunit ribosomal RNA", at positions 996 to 1382 of the family's 1533-position model. The record is from RNAcentral. Lineage: Bacteria; Bacillati; Chloroflexota; Anaerolineae; Anaerolineales; Anaerolineaceae.